GGAAUUAUGAUUUCUUAAUAAUUGGCCGCAACGCAAAAUAGAACAUUCUAUGAUUCUUUAGUGACCUGAGAGUUAGCCGCCUAUCUUUUCCCAGUGCUGAUUUUUAUAUUUGUGGUUUUGCAGCAGAAAGAAGACUUACUUCUUGCAGUAAUUCUGUUAGCUCACAGACUGUCCCUCUAAUCUGUUUCAGGGUUUAAUUCUGCUGUCCAUUCCUCUAGACUGAGUCCUCAUCUUCCUGAAGUGAAUUCAAGAGCUCCAGUGACUACAAUUCUUCUUAAGGCUUCCCAAGUAUGGUUACAAAUUUAAUGCCUGUUCUACCUUCCACAUUCAAAUCUGAAGUGUCAAGCUAAGGAAAUUAAAAAAUGAUAUAAAGUUUUCUCUAACCCUGACAACCUCAAAAGAAAAUGACAAAGCAUGGUUUAAAAAUGAACCUAAACCACAGACUGGGAAUGAACUCAGUAAGAUUUUAUGGAAAGUACCACUAAACUCUCUAAACUUAAGGAAAAUAUUCUUCCUGUAAAAAGUUUAAAUCACCCCUUAAAGUACUAUCACGUGUGCCGGUUUUGAAGCUCUAUUCAAAGCUUCUGAACCCUCUGUUCAGCACUGAUCAGACCACACCUGGGAUGCCGCGUCCCACCCUGGGCUCUGCGGCCUGAGAGAGGCAUGGACGUACUGGAGUGGGGCCUGCGAUGUGCUGCAAGGAUGAUGGCGGGACUGGAGCACCUGACAUACCAGGAGAGGCUGAGAGAGCUGGAACCAUUUCACCCAGAGAAGAGAAGGCUCGUAGGGGAUCUUUUCAGUGUGCAGAAAUACUUAACAUGGCAGCUAAGCAUAAAGCAUUAAACAUAGCAGCUAAGAACUGGACCCGCUGCCAACUUUGCUGCACCUGUAGCAAGAGUAACUUUUGGCAGCUAGAGUAUGCUGGAAUAAAAUACUCUGCCUUUAAACAAAAAGAAGGAGAAGAAAGAAUGCUUCAUUUUAUAACUUUUUAUGACAAAAUGCUUCUUGAUCUUAAGCAUUAAGAGCUGCUUUAAAAAUCCUUGGCUAGAAGUAAAAAU
Molecule: long non-coding RNA, 1058 nt
Organism: Oxyura jamaicensis (ruddy duck)
Lineage: Eukaryota; Metazoa; Chordata; Aves; Anseriformes; Anatidae
Exons: 3
Source: RefSeq, a predicted model, not a curated record